GAACUAAGCAAUUUUAGGAUCUCAUCGCUUAACACAGUAUCAACCAAAUGUGCCAAAUUCCUAAUGACAUCUGCCAUGCUCCGCCUAUGUCAAAUCCAGUUCAAGACAACUUGACAAAAUUGACUUUCUGGUUGUGUGUGAUGAAGCAACUUUGUUGAUUAUCCCAGAUGCAUCUGAAAUCAUCAUAAUUACAUGACAAAAAUGGCAUUAGAGGAUGACAGAAACAAAUCGUUGAUACGCUUUGUAAUGUUGUCUGAUAGACGUGAAGUUUAUGAACCUCUUUAGCAAAUGGAUUUGCAAACAACAUCUGGGAGAGAAGAAUUUCAUCAAGAGAGAUUGACUACUACUGAAGACAUCAUCUGGUUGUCCUGCUGGUUGGCCUCUGGCUGAAAUUGGUCAAUGGAAGAUUGGAUUUAGCUUCUGGUUCUGGUAUUUUGUUGGAUUUGGUUAAAAAGGGGGCACAGGCAAAAGGUCGGAAGGGCGGGAGGUUGGGUUAUUUCUUCUCAGCUCCCUCUCUGCUUUGGUAUGGAGUCUCUGGCAGUAGUGUCACUCCUCCAAGUGUCUAGUUCAUUCUGAGAAACUCAUUCUGUAUAGCUCCAGUUUUCACUUGGCUCUCUUCGUCCCGUUAGUCCUAGGGGUUGUAAUGGUUUUCCACUAUUGCUUGUCUCUAAGUAUCUUAUUGUACCUUAUUUAUUUUCUUACCCCUAUCCACACUUCUAUAAAGAUUUUGAAAAUUUCAAUGAUCCUGCUAGGGUAAAUUCUGUUUCUUAUUGGGACUCUACCUGACAGCUGGAUUUUAAAUUUCUGUUAAAUAGAAAUUGUGUUUCUUUAAACACAAUGCCCAUUCAAAUUUCUUGAAUAGUUGUCACAUUUUAUUUUAAGUUUAAGUAGAAAAUGUUGCUAAAAGUGAAAACGCCCAUCCCAGUAUAAAAAGAGAUAUCAAAGACUGGCUAGUGUAAUUAAGUACUAGGUGAUUUGCCUAAAAAUGAUUUGAAAUAUGCCAUAUAUGAAUUAGCCUAGGAUCAUAAAUGAGAACCCAUAUGCCUUGUCUGUAAGUUGAUGACUAGUCAAAUUAUUCAUGGUUUUCUAAAUCUCUAAUACUCAAGGGUUUAUUAUUUGCCUUACUUUAAUAAGUGAGUUUAAGAGACUCUUCUUCAAGACCAACUAAAUUGUUCCUCUGCAUUUUGUCUAACUUCCUUUUAUUCUGGUCUUUGCAGAGCAUAUCAAUCAUACCCACAAAUGUGGUAACAAAGUUGAAUUACUGAAAGAAUCAGAAUUUUCAGCUUUUCACUGGUCAUAGAUUCUACCUCUGUUUUUUAGCAUUUCAGUUUAGAAGAGGAAAAUAUGUACAGCCUUUCCAGAAUUCCUGCUCUAUUGAACUCAGAAUAGCAUAUAAUUCUAGCUUUGCUUUCAUAGGCAUUGUUGGUGUUGAUAACUCUAAGGUUGGUUUGAAUUCCUAAAUCUACACUGAGGAAACCCAUAUAUUUGCUAAUCUGUUUUUGUUUCGGGUAUUCUGAUUUUAUUAAAUUUUAGCUCAAAUGAUAAAAGGAGUUAAUUUUUAAAAACCAUUUAUAGUUUAAUUUGAACAUAAUAUGAAAAACUGUCUUCUCCUAGCAUUGUUGUACAUCGAAUGUACAAGCAUAUAAACAUGAAAUAUUUAAGCACAAACACCCGAAGGCUUUAGGCCUAUAGAGGAAGAAAAACCAAAAAUAAGGGUCAACAUAUUCAAUUUCCUUAGAGAUACUUGGAUAGAUAUAAGUAGUGACGGUUUUAUUUGUUGAAAUAUUUAAUCAACUCCCUUUGAAUACGUAAGCUGAAAUAAUAGAAGAAAUCUUGGUCUUCCUAUGUUACUGCCAAGGAAAAGGCUGGUGUAAUAUUGCUCAUGAAAUUCCUGUUGUUCAGAACAAUGACUGUCACAUAU
Canis lupus familiaris (dog) is the source of this 1921-nucleotide long non-coding RNA. RefSeq lists it as uncharacterized. NCBI's taxonomy places the organism in Eukaryota, Metazoa, Chordata, Mammalia, Carnivora, Canidae. The transcript is spliced from 3 exons. The record is from RefSeq and is a predicted model, not a curated record.